CGGAGGUUACUGCUAUCGAGGUUCGACUAAGCCAUGCGAGUCGAAUGUAGCAAUACAUGGCGAACUGCUCAGUAACACGUGGACAACCUGCCCUUAGGACGGGGAUAAACCCGGGAAACUGGGUAUAAUACCCGAUAGGUCUCGAUUGCUGGAAUGCAUCGAGAUUUAAAGCUCCGGCGCCCAAGGAUGGGUCUGCGGCCUAUCAGGUAGUAGUGGGUGUAGCGUACCUACUAGCCUACGACGGGUACGGGUUGUGAGAGCAAGAGCCCGGAGAUGGAUUCUGAGACACGAAUCCAGGCCCUACGGGGUGCAGCAGGCGCGAAAACUUUACAAUGCUGGCAACAGCGAUAAGGGAACCUCGAGUGCCAGGUUACAAAUCUGGCUGUCGAGAUGCCUAAAAAGCAUUUCAUAGCAAGGGCCGGGCAAGACCGGUGCCAGCCGCCGCGGUAACACCGGCGGCUCGAGUGGUAACCGUUAUUAUUGGGUCUAAAGGGUCUGUAGCCGGCCGGAUAAGUCUCUUGAGAAAUCUGGCAGCUUAACUGUCAGGCUUUCAGGAGAUACUGUCUGGCUCGAGGCCGGGAGAGGUGAGAGGUACUUCAGGGGUAGGGGUGAAAUCUUGUAAUCCUUGAAGGACCACCAGUGGCGAAGGCGUCUCACCAGAACGGACCCGACGGCAAGGGACGAAAGCUAGGGGCACGAACCGGAUUAGAUACCCGGGUAGUCCUAGCCGUAAACGAUACUCGCUAGGUGUCGGCCACGGUGCGACCGUUGUCGGUGCCGUAGGGAAGCCGUGAAGCGAGCCACCUGGGAAGUACGGCCGCAAGGCUGAAACUUAAAGGAAUUGGCGGGGGAGCACCACAACGGGUGGAGCUUGCGGUUUAAUUGGAUUCAACGCCGGG
Molecule: ribosomal RNA, 899 nt
Filed under: uncultured archaeon
Lineage: Archaea
Description: bacterial SSU rRNA
Rfam family: Archaeal small subunit ribosomal RNA
Source: RNAcentral